GGGGAAUAUUGCACAAUGGGCGAAAGCCUGAUGCAGCAACGCCGCGUGAGUGAUGAAGGUCUUCGGAUUGUAAAGCUCUGUCUUUUGGGACGAUAAUGACGGUACCAAAGGAGGAAGCCACGGCUAACUACGUGCCAGCAGCCGCGGUAAUACGUAGGUGGCGAGCGUUGUCCGGAUUUACUGGACGCAAAGGGUGCGUAGGCGGAUGUUUAAGUGAGAUGUGAAAUACCCGGGCUUAACUUGGGUGCUGCAUUUCAAACUGGAUAUCUAGAGUGCAGGAGAGGAGAAUGGAAUUCCUAGUGUAGCGGUGAAAUGCGUAGAGAUUAGGAAGAACACCAGUGGCGAAGGCGAUUCUCUGGACUGUAACUGACGCUGAGGCACGAAAGCGUGGGUAGCAAACAGGAUUAGAUACCCUGGUAGUCCACGCCGUAAACGAUGAGUACUAGGUGUAGGAGGUAUCGACCCCUUCUGUGCCGCAGUAAACACAUUAAGUACUCCGCCUGGGAAGUACGAUCGCAAGAUUAAAAC
RNAcentral lists this ribosomal RNA (528 nucleotides) under uncultured bacterium. Its description in RNAcentral is "partial 16S ribosomal RNA". It matches the Rfam family "Bacterial small subunit ribosomal RNA", at positions 356 to 900 of the family's 1533-position model. The record is from RNAcentral.